This 929-nucleotide ribosomal RNA is filed under the name fungal sp. SF(I)1B-16. Its description in RNAcentral is "eukaryotic LSU rRNA". The stretch from base 609 to 762 matches the Rfam family "5.8S ribosomal RNA". The record is from RNAcentral. Lineage: Eukaryota; Fungi.
ACGGGGCGGCCCUACCGCGAGGUGGGGUCGAUCCUUCCGCGUAACACUUGCCGAAGCCUUAGCAGCCCGAAAGGGUGCAGCCCCAACGACUAUAAUAUUCGAGGGCUGCUUAAAUGCUAGUCUGCGCCGCGCAGGCGACACUAUCAAAUUGCGGGAACACCCUAAAGACCUCAACACCAAGCGACGCGGGAAACCGCGGCGUGGCCGAGCUAAUAGCCCUGGGUAUGGUAACAGCUUGAGGUAUGACGCCCCUCGGGGUCGAAAUGGGCAAUCCGCAGCCAAGUCCUACCGCGCCCCCGGGCGCCACGGAUGCUGUUCACAGGCCAAAUGGUAGUGGGUGACCCCUCGCGGGGUUGCUUAAGAUAUGGUCGGGCCCCUCCAGAAAUGUUGGGGGUAAGUUUACGCCGUCCGACGCGCCCGCGUCCGACGAGAACAACCGUUCCGUAGGUGAACCUGCGGAAGGAUCAUUACUGAGGGGCUUCGGCCCCGUCAAGAUACCACCCUUGCAUUUUGAGCACCUUCUGUUUCCUCGGCGGGCUCGCCCGCCAAUGGGGACCACAACAAACCCUCUGUAGUUGCAGUAAACGUCUACAAACAAAUAAAAUCAAAACUUUCAACAACGGAUCUCUUGGUUCUGGCAUCGAUGAAGAACGCAGCGAAAUGCGAUAAGUAGUGUGAAUUGCAGAAUUCAGUGAAUCAUCGAAUCUUUGAACGCACAUUGCGCCCUUUGGUAUUCCUUAGGGCAUGCCUGUUCGAGCGUCAUCUAAACCCUCAAGCACUGCUUGGUGUUGGGCGUCUGUCCCGCCUCGGGCGCGGACUCGCCUCAAAAACAUUGGCGGCCUGUGUUAUUGGCUUCGAGCGCAGCAAAUCGCGCCUCGCGAACCGAUCGGCACGGGCGUCCAUCAAGACCACCCCCAAGUUGACCUCGG